UACGAAGGGGGCUAGCGUUGUUCGGAAUUACUGGGCGUAAAGCGCACGUAGGCGGAUAUUUAAGUCAGGGGUGAAAUCCCAGAGCUCAACUCUGGAACUGCCUUUGAUACUGGGUAUCUCGAGUAUGGAAGAGGUGAGUGGAAUUCCGAGUGUAGAGGUGAAAUUCGUAGAUAUUCGGAGGAACACCAGUGGCGAAGGCGGCUCACUGGUCCAUUACUGACGCUGAAACACGAAAGCUAGGGGAGCAAACAGG
RNAcentral lists this ribosomal RNA (253 nucleotides) under uncultured bacterium. RNAcentral's name for it is "partial 16S ribosomal RNA". It matches the Rfam family "Bacterial small subunit ribosomal RNA", at positions 524 to 776 of the family's 1533-position model. The record is from RNAcentral.